UACGUAGGGUGCAAGCGUUAAUCGGAAUUACUGGGCGUAAAGCGUGCGCAGGCGGUUUUGUAAGUCUGUCAUGAAAGCCCCGGGCUCAACCUGGGAAUUGCGAUGGAGACUGCAAGGCUUGAAUCUGGCAGAGGGGGGUAGAAUUCCACGUGUAGCAGUGAAAUGCGUAGAGAUGUGGAGGAACACCGAUGGCGAAGGCAGCCCCCUGGGUCAAGAUUGACGCUCAUGCACGAAAGCGUGGGGAGCAAACAGG
This 253-nucleotide ribosomal RNA is filed under the name uncultured bacterium. Its description in RNAcentral is "partial 16S ribosomal RNA". It matches the Rfam family "Bacterial small subunit ribosomal RNA", at positions 524 to 776 of the family's 1533-position model. The record is from RNAcentral.